UACCAGCACCCCGAGUGGUCGGGACGUUUAUUGGGCCUAAAGCAUCCGUAGCCGGUUCUACAAGUCUUCCGUUAAAUCCACCUGCUCAACAGAUGGGCUGCGGAAGAUACUAUGGAGCUAGGAGGCGGGAGAGGCAAGCGGUACUCGAUGGGUAGGGGUAAAAUCCGUUGAUCCAUUGAAGACCACCAGUGGCGAAGGCGGCCUUCUGGACCAGUACUGACGCUCAUGCACGAAAGCGUGGGGAGCAAACAGG
RNAcentral lists this ribosomal RNA (253 nucleotides) under uncultured bacterium. Its description in RNAcentral is "partial 16S ribosomal RNA". It matches the Rfam family "Archaeal small subunit ribosomal RNA", at positions 474 to 727 of the family's 1478-position model. The record is from RNAcentral.